Molecule: unclassified non-coding RNA, 327 nt
Filed under: Hevea brasiliensis (rubber tree)
Lineage: Eukaryota; Viridiplantae; Streptophyta; Magnoliopsida; Malpighiales; Euphorbiaceae
Source: RNAcentral
GCAUGGAAGAGUAAUUGACAAAUGAAUGUACUCAUUUGGCCUGGCCUUGUGAAAUAUCCCUUAAGAAAAAAUCAAGAUUAGAAUCAGAUGAUCCCCGUUCAGAAAUUGCUGCUUGACAAGCCUCUUGAAUUUCUUUUGCUUUUUCUCUCAUUUCAAUUACUUCACUAUUUUCUUUAUCCAUAAAACUCUGCACAAGUUUUGCAAUUUCUUCUCUUGUUACCAAGUUUUCACCUUCAACCCCUUGUUUCACUCUCCACCCAAUCUUCCAAUCUUCCACAAUUUUUUUACUAUUGGAAGUUUGAUCCCAAAUUAUAGGAGAAGCAAGCA